AUUGAACGCUGGCGGCAGGCUUAACACAUGCAAGUCGAGCGCCCCGCAAGGGGAGCGGCAGACGGGCGAGUAACGCGUGGGAAUCUACCCAUCCCUACGGAAUAGCUCCGGGAAACUGGAAUUAAUACCGUAUACGCCCUACGGGGGAAAGAUUUAUCGGGGAUGGAUGAGCCCGCGUUGGAUUAGCUAGUUGGUGGGGUAAAGGCCUACCAAGGCGACGAUCCAUAGCUGGUCUGAGAGGAUGAUCAGCCACAUUGGGACUGAGACACGGCCCAAACUCCUACGGGAGGCAGCAGUGGGGAAUAUUGGACAAUGGGGGCAACCUUGAUCCAGCCAUGCCGCGUGAGUGAUGAAGGCCUUAGGGUUGUAAAGCUCUUUCACCGGGGAAGAUAAUGACGGUACCCGGAGAAGAAGCCCCGGCUAACUUCGUGCCAGCCGCCGCCGUAA
This 447-nucleotide ribosomal RNA is filed under the name uncultured bacterium. RNAcentral describes it as "partial 16S ribosomal RNA". It matches the Rfam family "Bacterial small subunit ribosomal RNA", at positions 30 to 523 of the family's 1533-position model. The record is from RNAcentral.